GUAGAAAAGGAGAGAUAGAGAGAGAUAGAGAGAGAAAAGGAGUCGGACUGAAUAGUAAACAUGAGGGAGGGAAAUUGAUUAACCACAACCGGUUUUUCCAGAAAUAUCAGACAACUCCUCAAGUGUUGUUCAUCUAAUCCAGAAAAGACGAACCCAAGAAGCUGGACAAGAGCCAAAGUUGGCAGUAGCCUACUAAUUAUAUAAAAAACGACUUGAUCACUUACUGAAACUCCCAAGGAUCCACAGCAGCGGUGUCAGUCCGCCCAGGAGCGAUGCCAUUCUCCCCGGUUCGGUGGAGUGGUCCGCCCGACUGCUCCUUGGUAGUCCUGAAUACGGCUAAAGGUGUGUGGUCUAUUACAAUGCUGGAAUCAGUCAGGACAUUGGUCCAAGAAGUCCCGCUCAACCUCAGACAGUCAACUUUUUUUCAUCCAAUUCCAAAUCGAAGACAAGAAGUGUAAAGAAGUGUAAAAGCAGUAUAGAUCUUAGGUAUAGCCAAAAUGUAUGAUUCAAUAAUGUGUUGUAUGCUGUUGUUGGCCCAUCUUACUCCAAUAAAUCCUUUGGAAAGUU
Molecule: long non-coding RNA, 567 nt
Organism: Salmo salar (Atlantic salmon)
Lineage: Eukaryota; Metazoa; Chordata; Actinopteri; Salmoniformes; Salmonidae
Source: RefSeq, a predicted model, not a curated record